CCAGGAAAGAGAAGAGCAUUUGCUCCACGCGGCUAAGAAUGCAGCUUUUAAAUCUAUCUUCCCUGUGUUUACAUGAACUUUCGUUUGCAUUUCAGAAGCCUUAUGGAAGGAUUCCUGUGGCUGACCCGGGAGUAGUGGUGAAUUUCUCCAUCAAGCUAACUUUGGCUCCUCACAUUUCAAACUUUAUUUCUCCUUGACUCCUGGAAUCUAGCAUCAUGACAAGUGCUCUGAAUCUUCCCCUGUGCCCAUAUGCGGAGUGAGUUGUCACAGGAGGCAUCCUGGAGGCCCUCCCACGCAGUAACUCAAGUGUCUGAGAAAUGAGUUGUGUACUUCAAAAUUUCAUUCCACUAACUUCAAAAUAAAUACACAAAUGAAUGUAUAAA
This is a non-coding RNA of Ictidomys tridecemlineatus (thirteen-lined ground squirrel), 383 nucleotides long. The record is from RefSeq and is a predicted model, not a curated record. NCBI's taxonomy places the organism in Eukaryota, Metazoa, Chordata, Mammalia, Rodentia, Sciuridae.